CGGGCACUGCGCUGUGCGUCUGAUACGAAGUAACCCCUGGGGCUAUAACUACCUCUAGGGAGCUGUCCCUGGCCGAGAUCGUGGUCUCUUUCAUACGGCGCCCACCUGACUUGUCAGGUUCCAGAGGGUACAAACGUCAAUACGGCAGAAGUGGUCCCGCA
RNAcentral lists this non-coding RNA (161 nucleotides) under Kordiimonas sp. SCSIO 12610. RNAcentral's name for it is "6S RNA". It matches the Rfam family "6S / SsrS RNA". Rfam says of the family: E. coli 6S RNA was the first non coding RNA to be sequenced, but its function was unknown until recently. It consists of 184 nucleotides that fold into an extended hairpin structure with a large single-stranded internal bulge. The 6S RNA specifically associates with RNA polymerase holoenzyme containing the sigma70 specificity factor. Lineage: Bacteria; Pseudomonadati; Pseudomonadota; Alphaproteobacteria; Kordiimonadales; Kordiimonadaceae. The record is from RNAcentral.